This 995-nucleotide long non-coding RNA is filed under the name Marmota monax (woodchuck). Lineage: Eukaryota; Metazoa; Chordata; Mammalia; Rodentia; Sciuridae. The record is from RNAcentral.
GCGGGGGCGGGUACGAGCCGCGUUCCGGCCCCGCCCCCGUGACGCACAGCCCCUGAGGCUGAGGGCCCUGCAGCGUCUGCGUUGGCAAGCCAGCGCCUGGAGCCCUGGGUGUCCGCGGGGAGGGGAGAAGAGCCGCGGGAACACACGCGCCGGGGCAGGAGCGGCUGCAGUGAGGCGGAAAGUGGACGCUGGGGCUGAAUUGGGGGGCAAGGGACUGCGCGCUCCCGGCCUUCCCAGACGGGCGCGCCCGUGCCUGCGUGUCAGUGCACGCGCUCCUCUCAGACCAGGAGACCCCUGUCUGCUAGCUGGUUGGAUUCUCGUCCAAAUCUCGGGUGAUUUCCGCAGUAAACCCUGAUCCAGGUUGGCAAGUCUGUGGCACUCCCAUCCCAGCAGUCUUGGCAGACGUUGGGGGGGGGAGGGGGGAGAAUUCUUGGUGUCUUCAGCGGAGGAUUUGCUAAUUGCCCUCCCCCCAUUCCUUCCCUCUUUAAGAACUGAAGAAAUUGGGUAUGAAAGGCCACCCUUGACACAAUGUACCUUCUCAGUCCAGUGGUUCUUUAUUGAGUGCCAGUACCACUGUAUUAGGGUCCCUGGAAGAAUGAACAGGAGGACAUUUCUUAAGGGGUUGUGUCUUCUCAAACUCACUGGCUUCUUCUUCUUUUGCCCCUUUAAUGUUAGUGUUCCCCAGGUUCUCUUAGCUGUGUACACAUCCUGAUGGAAUUUUUCAAACUCAGCAUAACUUGAUUGAUAACAACUUGGGCUCUGGUGGAAAACAGGAUUUGUACCUGUGUAACUGCUCAAGUCGUUAAUCUCUCAAUCUCAGUAUUUUUUUUUAACUGCAAAUUAAAAAUAGGAAGAAGAUUAACUUGGUAUCUCAAAUUGGUGUUAAGUAAAUGUUAUGUGAUGGUAUCCACACAUAAAAGUAUCAUCGUAUGCAGACCUGCUCUUUCUUUUAAAUUUCUCACCUCAAUUGAUGACUCCACAUCCAGUUCCCUGCA